RNAcentral lists this ribosomal RNA (417 nucleotides) under uncultured Lachnospiraceae bacterium. RNAcentral describes it as "bacterial SSU rRNA". It matches the Rfam family "Bacterial small subunit ribosomal RNA", at positions 349 to 782 of the family's 1533-position model. The record is from RNAcentral. Lineage: Bacteria; Bacillati; Bacillota; Clostridia; Lachnospirales; Lachnospiraceae.
CAGCAGUGGGGGAUAUUGCACAAUGGGGGAAACCCUGAUGCAGCGACGCCGCGUGAGUGAAGAAGUAUUUCGGUAUGUAAAGCUCUAUCAGCAGGGAAGAAAAAAGACGGUACCUGACUAAGAAGCCCCGGCUAACUACGUGCCAGCAGCCGCGGUAAUACGUAGGGGGCAAGCGUUAUCCGGAUUUACUGGGUGUAAAGGGAGCGUAGACGGCAAUACAAGUCGGAAGUGAAAUACCCGGGCUCAACCUGGGAACUGCUUUGGAAACUGUAUGGCUGGAGUGCUGGAGAGGUAAGCGGAAUUCCUAGUGUAGCGGUGAAAUGCGUAGAUAUUAGGAGGAACACCAGUGGCGAAGGCGGCUUACUGGACAGUAACUGACGUUGAGGCUCGAAAGCGUGGGGAGCAAACAGGAUUAGA